RNAcentral lists this ribosomal RNA (443 nucleotides) under uncultured bacterium. RNAcentral describes it as "partial 16S ribosomal RNA". It matches the Rfam family "Bacterial small subunit ribosomal RNA", at positions 338 to 795 of the family's 1533-position model. The record is from RNAcentral.
CCUACGGGGCGCUGCAGUAGGGAAUAUUGGGCAAUGGGCGCAAGCCUGACCCAGCAACGCCGCGUGAAGGAAGAAGGCUUUCGGGUUGUAAACUUCUUUUCUCAGGGACGAAGCAAGUGACGGUACCUGAGGAAUAAGCCACGGCUAACUACGUACCAGCAACCGCGGGAAUACGUAGGUGGCAAGCGUUAUCCGGAUUUACUGGGUGGAAAGGGCGUGUAGGCGGGCAAGCAAGUCAGAUGUGAAAACCACGGGCUCAACCUGCGGCCUGCAUUUGAAACUGUUUUUCUUGAGUACGGGAGAGGCAGACGGAAGUCCUAGUGUAGCGGUGAAAUGCGUAGAUAUUAGGAGGAACACCAGUGGCGAAGGCGGUCUGCUGGACAGCAACUGACGUUGAGGCGCGAAAGCGUGGGGAGCAAACAGGAUUAGAUACCCGGGUAGUC